RNAcentral lists this transfer RNA (64 nucleotides) under Cryptonema producta. Its description in RNAcentral is "tRNA-Ala". Lineage: Eukaryota; Metazoa; Mollusca; Bivalvia; Venerida; Veneridae. The record is from RNAcentral.
GAGCUGGUACUUUAAGAAAAAGGUUAGUUUUGCGUUCUAAUAUUGGUAUUUUUAUCUCAGUUUG